CAGUCGCCGCGGUAAUACGGAGGGUGCAAGCGUUAAUCGGAAUUACUGGGCGUAAAGCGCACGCAGGCGGUUUGUUAAGUCAGAUGUGAAAUCCCCGAGCUUAACUUGGGAACUGCAUUUGAAACUGGCAAGCUAGAGUGUGUCAGAGGAUGGUGGAAUUCCCGGUGUAGCGGUGAAAUGCGUAGAGAUCGGGAAGAACAUCAGUGGCGAAGGCGGCCAUCUGGGACAACACUGACGCUGAGGCACGAAAGCGUGGGGAGCAAACAGGAUUAGAUACCCGUGUAGUCCCUGUCUCUUAUAC
This 301-nucleotide ribosomal RNA is filed under the name uncultured bacterium. Its description in RNAcentral is "partial 16S ribosomal RNA". It matches the Rfam family "Bacterial small subunit ribosomal RNA", at positions 509 to 807 of the family's 1533-position model. The record is from RNAcentral.